CUCAUCGAGAUGCUAUUAUGCUGUGGUGUCCCUAGAGGGAUCCAUUGUAAGAGAAUUUUAUUCUUUCCUAGAUACGUCAAAAACUCACAGGGGAUGUAUUCACCUUCUCGAUCGGAUCAAAGAGUAUUAAUACUUUUUUUAAUUUAUUUUUUUAUUUUAUUACAGAAUUGUUUGAAUAUUUUGAACAAUGCAGACUUGUGUUUCAUCAAGUGG
RNAcentral lists this long non-coding RNA (213 nucleotides) under Elaeis guineensis (African oil palm). RNAcentral describes it as "long non-coding RNA (EGUI_LNC043029)". Lineage: Eukaryota; Viridiplantae; Streptophyta; Magnoliopsida; Arecales; Arecaceae. The record is from RNAcentral.